GGAGAGGUGGCUCAGCGGCUAAGAGCACUGGCUCUGCUCUUCCAGAGGGCCUGAGUUCAAUUCCCAGCAUCUACA
RNAcentral lists this transfer RNA (75 nucleotides) under Mesocricetus auratus (golden hamster). It matches the Rfam family "tRNA". From Rfam's summary of the family: Transfer RNA (tRNA) molecules are approximately 80 nucleotides in length. Their secondary structure includes four short double-helical elements and three loops (D, anti-codon, and T loops). Further hydrogen bonds mediate the characteristic L-shaped molecular structure. tRNAs have two regions of fundamental functional importance: the anti-codon, which is responsible for specific mRNA codon recognition, and the 3' end, to which the tRNAs corresponding amino acid is attached (by aminoacyl-tRNA synthetases). tRNAs cope with the degeneracy of the genetic code in two manners: having more than one tRNA (with a specific anti-codon) for a particular amino acid; and 'wobble' base-pairing, i.e. permitting non-standard base-pairing at the 3rd anti-codon position. The record is from Rfam by way of RNAcentral. Lineage: Eukaryota; Metazoa; Chordata; Mammalia; Rodentia; Cricetidae.